RNAcentral lists this ribosomal RNA (603 nucleotides) under Choleva angustata. Its description in RNAcentral is "partial 16S ribosomal RNA". It matches the Rfam family "Bacterial large subunit ribosomal RNA", at positions 1846 to 2727 of the family's 2925-position model. Lineage: Eukaryota; Metazoa; Arthropoda; Insecta; Coleoptera; Leiodidae. The record is from RNAcentral.
UUAGGUCUAAUCUGCCCAAUGAGAUUUUAAAUGGCUGCAGUAUUUUAACUGUACAAAGGUAGCAUAAUAAUUAGUCUUUUAAUUAAGGACUGGAAUGAAUGAUUGAACGAGAUAAUAACUGUCUCUAUUUAAAUUAUAGAAUUUUAUUUUUAAGUUAAAAAGCUUAAAUAUAUUUAAAAGACGAGAAGACCCUAUAGAGUUUAAUAUUUUUUAAUAAUUUAUUUUUUAGAUAAUAAAUUAAUAAAUUUUUUAAAAAUUAUUUGAUUGGGGUGAUUAAAAAAUUUAAUUAACUUUUUUUUUUGAUAACACUAAUUAGUGAUUAAUUGAUCCAAUUUUUAUUGAUUAUAAGAUUAAAUUACCUUAGGGAUAACAGCGUAAUUUUUUUAGAGAGUUCAUAUCGAAAAAAAAGAUUGCGACCUCGAUGUUGGAUUAAAAUUAAUUUUUGGCGUAGUAGUUAAAAAAUUAGGUCUGUUCGACCUUUAAAAUUUUACAUGAUCUGAGUUUAAAUCGGCGUGAGCCAGGUUGGUUUCUAUCUUUAAAAAAUUAAAAUAUUUUAGUACGAAAGGACCAAAUAUUUAUAAAAUUUAUUUUUUUAAUGAAUUA